RNAcentral lists this unclassified non-coding RNA (377 nucleotides) under uncultured Gammaproteobacteria bacterium. RNAcentral's name for it is "contains 16S-23S intergenic spacer region". The record is from RNAcentral. Lineage: Bacteria; Pseudomonadati; Pseudomonadota; Gammaproteobacteria.
UCCGGUUCUUCACCAGCAGUCUCCUUAGAGUCCCCAACUUAAUGCUGGCAACUAAGGAUAAGGGUUGCGCUCGUUACGGGACUUAACCCAACAUCUCACAACACGAGCUGACGACAGCCAUGCAGCACCUGUCUCUAGGUUCCUUUCGGCACAACCACAUCUCUGCAGUCUUCCUAGGAUGUCAAGGGUAGGUAAGGUUCUUCGCGUUGCGUCGAAUUAAACCACAUGCUCCACCGCUUGUGCGGGCCCCCGUCAAUUUCUUUGAGUUUUAAUCUUGCGACCGUACUCCCCAGGCGGAGAACUUAUCGCGUUAGCUUCGAUACUAAUGAGCUCGCGCCCACCAACAUCCAGUUCUCAUCGUUUACAGCGUGGACUAC